GAGGGUCUAGCUCAAGUGGUAGAGCACAUGCUUAGCAUGCAUGAGGUCUUGGGUUCAAUCCUCAGUACCUCCU
Molecule: non-coding RNA, 73 nt
Organism: Camelus ferus (Wild Bactrian camel)
Lineage: Eukaryota; Metazoa; Chordata; Mammalia; Artiodactyla; Camelidae
Source: Rfam